UGAGGAACAGAGUUGAAGACCUCCGAUACAAAUAUCAUAUCAUAUCAAAUCAAAUCAAAUCAAAUCAAAUCCAAUCAUGUGACCUAAUGAGUCCAAGGAGUCCAGCAUCCUGGACCAGCAGCCUGCUGUGGUGCAAGUUUGCAAAAGACAAGAAAAAGAUGCAGCUUGAAGUUUGCAAAACAACAAAUCCAGCUUUGCUGCUUUAUAGCACCGCAGUGCAACAAGACCCGGGGACCAUCUGCCUGCAGYGACAGCGUCACGCUCCAGGAAAACGUUGUAAAAAGUCAUCUGUCCAGACGAUUGUAAAACACCAAGAAGAAGCAGCUGAAGCACAUCAUCAAAGCCACGUGGCCCUCUGGGACCAACGAGAAUCCACC
Molecule: long non-coding RNA, 377 nt
Organism: Austrofundulus limnaeus
Lineage: Eukaryota; Metazoa; Chordata; Actinopteri; Cyprinodontiformes; Rivulidae
Exons: 3
Source: RefSeq, a predicted model, not a curated record